RNAcentral lists this ribosomal RNA (478 nucleotides) under uncultured bacterium. Its description in RNAcentral is "partial 16S ribosomal RNA". It matches the Rfam family "Bacterial small subunit ribosomal RNA", at positions 28 to 523 of the family's 1533-position model. The record is from RNAcentral.
GACGAACGCUGGCGGCGUGCUUAACACAUGCAAGUCGAACGGUAAGGCCCUUCGGGGUACACGAGUGGCGAACGGGUGAGUAACACGUGGGUGAUCUGCCCUGCACUUCGGGAUAAGCCUGGGAAACUGGGUCUAAUACCGGAUAGGACCACUGCCUGCAUGGGUGGUGGUGGAAAGCUUUUGCGGUGUGGGAUGGGCCCGCGGCCUAUUAGCUUGUUGGUGGGGUGAUGGCCUACCAAGGCGACGACGGGUAGCCGGCCUGAGGGUGUGACCGGCCACACUGGGACUGAGAUACGGCCCAGACUCCUACGGGAGGCAGCAGUGGGGAAUAUUGCACAAUGGGCGCAAGCCUGAUGCAGCGACGCCGCGUGAGGGAUGACGGCCUUCGGGUUGUAAACCUCUUUCAGCACCGACGAAGCGCAAGUGACGGUAGGUGCAGAAGAAGGACCGGCCAACUACGUGCCAGCAGCCGCGGUAA